RNAcentral lists this ribosomal RNA (497 nucleotides) under uncultured bacterium. Its description in RNAcentral is "partial 16S ribosomal RNA". It matches the Rfam family "Bacterial small subunit ribosomal RNA", at positions 28 to 507 of the family's 1533-position model. The record is from RNAcentral.
GAUGAACGCUGGCGGCGUGCCUAAUACAUGCAAGUCGAGCGAACAGACGAGGAGCUUGCUCCUCUGACGUUAGCGGCGGACGGGUGAGUAACACGUGGAUAACCUACCUAUAAGACUGGGAUAACUUCGGGAAACCGGAGCUAAUACCGGAUAAUAUAUUGAACCGCAUGGUUCAAUAGUGAAAGACGGUUUUGCUGUCACUUAUAGAUGGAUCCGCGCGGCAUUAGCUAGUUGGUAAGGUAACGGCUUACCAAGGCAACGAUGCGUAGCCGACCUGAGAGGGUGAUCGGCCACACUGGAACUGAGACACGGUCCAGACUCCUACGGGAGGCAGCAGUAGGGAAUCUUCCGCAAUGGGCGAAAGCUUGACGGAGCAACGCCGCGUGAGUGAUGAAGGUCUUCGGAUCGUAAAACUCUGUUAUUAGGGAAGAACAAAUGUGUAAGUAACUGUGCACGUCUUGACGGUACCUAAUCAGAAAGCCACGGCUAACUACGUG